AUUGAACGCUGGCGGCAGGCCUAACACAUGCAAGUCGAACGGUAGCACAGAGAGCUUGCUCUCGGGUGACGAGUGGCGGACGGGUGAGUAACGUCUGGGAAACUGCCCGAUGGAGGGGGAUAACUACUGGAAACGGUAGCUAAUACCGCAUAACGUCGCAAGACCAAAGUGGGGGACCUUCGGGCCUCACACCAUCGGAUGUGCCCAGAUGGGAUUAGCUAGUAGGUGGGGUAAUGGCUCACCUAGGCGACGAUCCCUAGCUGGUCUGAGAGGAUGACCAGCCACACUGGAACUGAGACACGGUCCAGACUCCUACGGGAGGAAGCAGUGGGGAAUAUUGCACAAUGGGCGCAAGCCUGAUGCAGCCAUGCCGCGUGUAUGAAGAAGGCCUUCGGGUUGUAAAGUACUUUCAGCGGGGAGGAAGGCGGUGAAGUUAACAGCUUCACCGAUUGACGUUACCCGCAGAAGAAGCACCGGCUAACUCCGUGCCAGCCGCCGCGGUAA
Molecule: ribosomal RNA, 504 nt
Filed under: uncultured bacterium
Lineage: Bacteria
Description: partial 16S ribosomal RNA
Rfam family: Bacterial small subunit ribosomal RNA
Source: RNAcentral